This 184-nucleotide small nuclear RNA is filed under the name Sus scrofa (pig). Its description in RNAcentral is "7SK RNA". It matches the Rfam family "7SK RNA", at positions 1 to 192 of the family's 331-position model. From Rfam's summary of the family: 7SK was discovered as an abundant small nuclear RNA in the mid-70s but a possible function has only recently been suggested. Lineage: Eukaryota; Metazoa; Chordata; Mammalia; Artiodactyla; Suidae. The record is from Rfam by way of RNAcentral.
GGAUGUGACGGUGACCUGGCUGCAGCCUCUCUUCCCCGCUGAUAACCAGGGUACAUUCGGUUGCUCAGACCCUCAGCUUCUCCUCUCUCCUUUACUAUUCCAGGAGGGUCCCUCCUGAAAUUGCACUCCCAGCAGAAAAGGGUAAUAUUCUCAGAUAAAGGAGGGUGUUUCUUGGUAAGGGAGA